CUAGUGUAUCAAAUUGUAUUCUCUGUCGUAACGUUCUUUGAAUACCUGCUUAUCCGUUGUCUGCAUCAUAAUACGUUGAACAGUUUUAGAAAAAGGCGGGAAAGGGAAAUUGGCCGAGCAUGGCGGGAUAAAGGGAUUUGAAGUGAAGAUCGGUCUGGAUGGCGGGAUUUCGGAACCCGGUACUGGUCCCUCUACGAAACUCUAUUUUCACUCGUUGGCUCGAUAUUUUAGAACACGAUAAUCUGAGGUUUAUCUCAAAAAAUGUGCCUGAUAACUCGUGUCAAGAAACAGAGGGGAAGUUUUGACAGAAUUUUAUUGAGCAGUUUAGAGACGAAAAUCUUUUGUGAAAAUAAACGGUAUUGAAAUUUAUAGUACAUAGCGAUCAAAUGUCAAAUGACUGACUCUAUUUGCCACAUUCACAAAGGCCGGCACUUUUAUUGACAUCAAUUAGUUGAAAACAUGCUUAAUGAAAAUAUUUAUAAAAAAUCAGCCUUAAGCUAUUUAUGUAUAUUCAGCCACUACGAUCCUGGCAAAAAUUAUUAUAUGGACAGCUAGAUUGAGCUAGUGCAUGCGGAAAUAGAAAUACCGCAUACCUGCCUUGCCGAAUAGAUACGUUUGUCAAAAUUUGAUAAGGCUACAUGUAUUUUAACAACGUGUUUUGAUCAAGAGUGCAUGAUCAUGCACUAUAUUCAAGCCUA
Molecule: non-coding RNA, 698 nt
Organism: Paramuricea clavata
Lineage: Eukaryota; Metazoa; Cnidaria; Anthozoa; Malacalcyonacea; Plexauridae
Source: the annotation of a GenBank genome assembly